GUCAUUUCGGAACAUCCGAUAAAAUUGGAAGGAUACUGAGAAAAUUAGCUUAGUCCUUGCGCAAAGAUUACAUCACACAAAUCGAGAAAUGGUCCAGAGAAUC
Non-coding RNA from Capsicum annuum, 103 nucleotides. The record is from Rfam. NCBI's taxonomy places the organism in Eukaryota, Viridiplantae, Streptophyta, Magnoliopsida, Solanales, Solanaceae.